GAUUUGGGCACUGUCUCAACGAGAGACUCGGUGAAAUCAUAGUACCUGUGAAGAUGCAGGUUACCCGCGACAGGACGGAAAGACCCCGUGGAGCUUUACUGUAGCCUGAUAUUGAAAUUCGGCACAGCUUGUACAGGAUAGGUAGGAGCCUUUGAAACGUGAGCGCUAGCUUACGUGGAGGCGCUGGUGGGAUACUACCCUAGCUGUGUUGGCUUUCUAACCCGCACCACUUAUCGUGGUGGGAGACAGUGUCAGGCGGGCAGUUUGACUGGGGCGGUCGCCUCCUAAAAGGUAACGGAGGCGCUCAAAGGUUCCCUCAGAAUGGUUGGAAAUCAUUCAUAGAGUGUAAAGGCAUAAGGGAGCUUGACUGCGAGACCUACAAGUCGAGCAGGGUCGAAAGACGGACUUAGUGAUCCGGUGGUUCCGCAUGGAAGGGCCAUCGCUCAACGGAUAAAAGCUACCCCGGGGAUAACAGGCUUAUCUCCCCCAAGAGUUCACAUCGACGGGGAGGUUUGGCACCUCGAUGUCGGCUCAUCGCAUCCUGGGGCUGUAGUCGGUCCCAAGGGUUGGGCUGUUCGCCCAUUAAAGCGGUACGCGAGCUGGGUUCAGAACGUCGUGAGACAGUUCGGUCCCUAUCCGUCGUGGGCGUAGGAAAUUUGAGAGGAGCUGUCCUUAGUACGAGAGGACCGGGAUGGACAUACCUCUGGUGUACCAGUUGUCGUGCCAACGGCAUAGCUGGGUAGCUAUGUGUGGACGGGAUAAGUGCUGAAAGCAUCUAAGCAUGAAGCCCCCCUCAAGAUGAGAUUUCCCAACUUCGGUUAUAAGAUCCCUCAAAGAUGAUGAGGUUAAUAGGUUCGAGGUGGAAGCAUGGUGACAUGUGGAGCUGACGAAUACUAAUCGAUCGAAGACUUAAUCAA
Molecule: ribosomal RNA, 917 nt
Filed under: Staphylococcus aureus
Lineage: Bacteria; Bacillati; Bacillota; Bacilli; Caryophanales; Staphylococcaceae
Description: partial 23S ribosomal RNA
Rfam family: Bacterial large subunit ribosomal RNA
Source: RNAcentral